UGAAUUUUUUUAAUUUAAAUUUUGAAUUCAAAAUUUAAAAUUUAAUUUAAAUUUUAAAUUUAAAUUUAAUAAAUUUUCAUAUUAAAAUUUUAAAAUUAAAAAUUUUAAAUUCAAAAUUAAAAUAAAAUUGAAAUUUUAUAAACUUAAAUUUUUAAUUUUAACUUUUAUAUUUUAAAAUUUACAUCUAAAGUUUAAAAUCUUAAAUUUUAAAUUUUUAAUUGAAAAUUUAAAUUU
This 234-nucleotide long non-coding RNA is filed under the name Ananas comosus (pineapple). RNAcentral's name for it is "long non-coding RNA (ACOM_LNC040101)". The record is from RNAcentral. Lineage: Eukaryota; Viridiplantae; Streptophyta; Magnoliopsida; Poales; Bromeliaceae.